UGGGGAAUAUUGCGCAAUGGGGGCAACCCUGACGCAGCGACGCCGCGUGCGGGAUGAAGGCCUUCGGGUUGUAAACCGCUUUCAGCAGGGACGAGGCCUUAUGGUGACGGUACCUGCAGAAGAAGCUCCGGCUAAAUACGUGCCAGCAGCCGCGGUAAUACGUAUGGAGCAAGCGUUAUCCGGAUUCAUUGGGCGUAAAGCGCUCGUAGGCGGUCUGUUAGGUCGGCAAGUUAAAUCCGGGGGCUCAACCCCCGUCCGCUUCCGAUACCGGCAGACUUGAGUUUGGUAGGGGAAGGUGGAAUUCCUAGUGUAGCGGUGGAAUGCGCAGAUAUUAGGAAGAACACCGGUGGCGAAGGCGGCCUUCUGGGCCAUAACUGACGCUGAGGAGCGAAAGCUAGGGGAGCGAACAGG
This 411-nucleotide ribosomal RNA is filed under the name Verrucomicrobiota bacterium. RNAcentral describes it as "Verrucomicrobia bacterium partial 16S ribosomal RNA". It matches the Rfam family "Bacterial small subunit ribosomal RNA", at positions 355 to 776 of the family's 1533-position model. Lineage: Bacteria; Pseudomonadati; Verrucomicrobiota. The record is from RNAcentral.